AUUGAACGCUGGCGGCAUGCCUUACACAUGCAAGUCGAACGGCAGCAUGGAGGAGCUUGCUCCUCUGAUGGCGAGUGGCGAACGGGUGAGUAAAGCAUCGGAACGUACCGUGUAGUGGGGGAUAACGUAGCGAAAGUUACGCUAAUACCGCAUACGCACUGAGGUGGAAAGCAGGGGAUCGGCAAGACCUUGCGCUAUACGAGCGGCCGAUGUCAGAUUAGCUAAGUUGGUAGGGUAAAGGCCUACCAAGGCGACGAUCUGUAGCUGGUCUGAGAGGACGACCAGCCACACUGGGACUGAGACACGGGCCCAGACUCCUACGGGAGGCAGCAGUGGGGAAUUUUGGGACAAUGGACGCAAGUCUGAUCCAGCAAUGCCGCGUGCAGGACGAAGGCCUCGGUGUAAC
RNAcentral lists this ribosomal RNA (406 nucleotides) under uncultured bacterium. Its description in RNAcentral is "bacterial SSU rRNA". It matches the Rfam family "Bacterial small subunit ribosomal RNA", at positions 30 to 429 of the family's 1533-position model. The record is from RNAcentral.